UACGUAGGGGGCAAGCGUUGUCCGGAAUUACUGGGCGUAAAGAGAGCGUAGGCGGCACUACAAGUCUCAUGUGAAAUACCCGGGCUUAACUUGGGGGUUGCAUGGGAAACUGUAGAGCUUGAGUACAGGAGAGGCAAGCGGAAUUCCUAGUGUAGCGGUGAAAUGCAUAGAUAUUAGGAGGAACACCAGUGGCGAAGGCGGCUUGCUGGACUGAAACUGACGCUGAGGCUCGAAAGCGUGGGGAGCAAACAGG
RNAcentral lists this ribosomal RNA (253 nucleotides) under uncultured bacterium. RNAcentral's name for it is "partial 16S ribosomal RNA". It matches the Rfam family "Bacterial small subunit ribosomal RNA", at positions 524 to 776 of the family's 1533-position model. The record is from RNAcentral.